This 1127-nucleotide long non-coding RNA is filed under the name Cicer arietinum (chickpea). Its description in RNAcentral is "long non-coding RNA (CARI_LNC003105)". Lineage: Eukaryota; Viridiplantae; Streptophyta; Magnoliopsida; Fabales; Fabaceae. The record is from RNAcentral.
CACAAUACAUUUGUCUCUCCACUCUUGCUCUUAAUCUUUUGUCAUCUCUAAGUAAUGAAAAAUAGUUUUUGAGAGUACAACGUUGUAAGCAUCCUCUUGUGAGAGUUAUUCAGAAAAUCCAUAAACUUGUUCUUUUGUAACCUAGCUUAAUAGUGGUUGCAUCUCUCAACAUCUUUACUAUAUUAAGCUAGAAGGUUGAGAAAACUUGAACAUAAUUAGUUUGACUAAUAUGUGUUCAGUGAAAGUGUAACCUACUUGGUAAAUUAGUGAAUUAAAUCCUUUAGGUUGAAGGGACUGGACGUAUCAACCGUGUUGAUGGUGAAAAAGAAUAAAUUAGUUGUGUCAUUAUGUUUUUUUUUGUUUAUUUGCUUUGUUUUCAUCAUUUUAUUUUAGCCUUGUUAAAAUUAUUUUAAAAUAAAAUACCAUUCAACCCCACCCCCCAUUUCUUGUAGUUCUCGUUCUAUAAUUGGCAUCAAACUCGAAAAGUGGAGCACUUAAACGUGUUUGAGUAAAUAUAUUUGUUAUUAUGACUAACUUUGUUGAUGAAGUUAUAGGUGGAAAUGUUAUCAGGUCUCAUUUGUUUGAUCGAGAAAGAUAGGCUUUUGAGUUUCUACAUAUUUUAUCAUCCUAAACUCUAGGACAUAGUUGAAGAAGGUUAUAAGGCUCUAAAAGCCGUUGCUGGUGUGGAAAUAUCUUGAAAAUAUCUCAUUGUUGAUGAAAAGAAACAAUAGUAGAUGCAUCAUAAGGCCAUAACUUUAAUGAUGAAUGUUAUCACGUUCAAAGAGUUCGAAAAAUGUAACAACAAAGAAACAGAAAAUGAUAUCUUUAAUGCUCUAGUUCUCAACAACCAAAGAAAUAAGAAUGUACAAAAAGCUUAGGAAAAUUUACUUGUCAAGAAGUAUGAACUUUCCAAAUGGAAGAAGAUGAAGACAUUGAGAUAUAUGAGAUCUUGUCCCCAAGUCUAAAGAAAAGAAAUCAAUUGGAACCAAGUGGGUUUUCAAAAAAAAAAAUAAAUAAGAAAGGUGAAGUGGUCAAAAUCAAAACUAGGGACUUAACACAAAGAUACCAGGAAGAAGGUGUCAUUUUUCGUUCUACUAAUUGCAAGUUGUAAUAUCCUAAAAUUAAAA